This 48-nucleotide small RNA is filed under the name Arabidopsis thaliana (thale cress). RNAcentral describes it as "ATSL090430". The record is from RNAcentral. Lineage: Eukaryota; Viridiplantae; Streptophyta; Magnoliopsida; Brassicales; Brassicaceae.
UGUUAAGCAAGGAAAGAUUGAUCUUAAUAUGGGGAAGGAUUUUAAAAU